This 434-nucleotide long non-coding RNA is filed under the name Androctonus crassicauda. Lineage: Eukaryota; Metazoa; Arthropoda; Arachnida; Scorpiones; Buthidae. The record is from RNAcentral.
UGUCAUAUUCUUAUUUCCUCAGAUGGUUUGCCACUGUCUUUCAGGCAGAAAUCUAUGCUAUUUCUGCAUGUGUUAAAAUCAAUUUUGAUAUGUUAUUAUGCAUAAUUAUAACCUAUUAAAUAGUCAAUCUGCCUUAAAAGCACUUGAUAACUUCCACUUUAUUUCAAAACUUUUGUUGGUCAUUAUCAUUGUGGAACCGGUUACCAGGAAUAGAUUCAACUUUUUUUUGGUGCCAGAGCAUAAUGGGAUUGAGGGCAAUGAGGUUGCAGAUGGUUGGCCAAAGAUAGGCUUAUCAUCCUGUUAUUGAAUCUGAACCUAUCCUGGACAAAGGUCUUACUUUAACUCCUUUACAAAGAACUAAAGAGUUGCUUGCAUUGCAUAAAAAUUAAUCUAGGAUUGUUAUAGGGCACCCUCAUCUUAAAAGGCAUCUUCAC